CACAUGCAAGUCGAACGCUGAAGCUCAGCUUUUGUUGGGUGGAUGAGUGGCGAACGGGUGAGUAACACGUGAGUAACCUGCCCCCUUCUUUGGGAUAACGCCCGGAAACGGGUGCUAAUACUGGAUAUUCACUGGUCUUCGCAUGGGGGUUGGUGGAAAGGGUUUUUCUGGUGGGGGAUGGGCUCGCGGCCUAUCAGCUUGUUGGUGGGGUGAUGGCCUACCAAGGCUUUGACGGGUAGCCGGCCUGAGAGGGUGACCGGUCACAUUGGGACUGAGAUACGGCCCAGACUCCUACGGGAGGCAGCAGUGGGGAAUAUUGCACAAUGGGCGCAAGCCUGAUGCAGCGACGCCGCGUGAGGGAUGGAGGCCUUCGGGUUGUGAACCUCUUUCGCUCAUGGUCAAGCCGCAACUGUGGGUUGUGGUGAGGGUAGUGGGUAAAGAAGCGCCGGCUAACUACGUGCCAGCAGCCGCGGUAAUACGUAGGGCGCGAGCGUUGUCCGGAAUUAUUGGGCGUAAAGGGCUUGUAGGCGGUUGGUCGCGUCUGCCGUGAAAUCCUCUGGCUUAACUGGGGGCGUGCGGUGGGUACGGGCUGACUUGAGUGCGGUAGGGGAGACUGGAACUCCUGGUGUAGCGGUGGAAUGCGCAGAUAUCAGGAAGA
Molecule: ribosomal RNA, 658 nt
Filed under: Actinomyces sp. 201220457
Lineage: Bacteria; Bacillati; Actinomycetota; Actinomycetes; Actinomycetales; Actinomycetaceae
Description: bacterial SSU rRNA
Rfam family: Bacterial small subunit ribosomal RNA
Source: RNAcentral